GGCCUAGUGGCGAAGUGGUAACGCGGCGGUCUGCAAAACCGCUAUGCGGGAGUUCGAUUCUCCCCUAGGCCU
This 72-nucleotide transfer RNA is filed under the name Nanobdellota archaeon. Its description in RNAcentral is "tRNA-Cys". It matches the Rfam family "tRNA". From Rfam's summary of the family: Transfer RNA (tRNA) molecules are approximately 80 nucleotides in length. Lineage: Archaea; Nanobdellati; Nanobdellota. The record is from RNAcentral.